Molecule: transfer RNA, 77 nt
Filed under: Bacteroidales bacterium OttesenSCG-928-C19
Lineage: Bacteria; Pseudomonadati; Bacteroidota; Bacteroidia; Bacteroidales
Description: tRNA-His
Rfam family: tRNA
About the family: Transfer RNA (tRNA) molecules are approximately 80 nucleotides in length.
Source: RNAcentral
GUGGUCGUAGCUCAGUUGGUUAGAGCGUCGGAUUGUGGUUCCGAAGGUCGCGGGUUCGAGCCCCGUCUUCCACCCCA